ACGCUGGCGGCGUGCCUAAUACAUGCAAGUAGAACGCUGAAGGAGGAGCUUGCUUCUCUGGAUGAGUUGCGAACGGGUGAGUAACGCGUAGGUAACCUGCCUGGUAGCGGGGGAUAACUAUUGGAAACGAUAGCUAAUACCGCAUAACAGUAGAUGUUGCAUGACAUUUGCUUAAAAGGUGCAAUUGCAUCACUACCAGAUGGACCUGCGUUGUAUUAGCUAGUUGGUGGGGUAACGGCUCACCAAGGCGACGAUACACAGCCGACCUGAGAGGGUGAUCGGCCACACUGGGACUGAGACACGGCCCAGACUCCUACGGGAGGCAGCAGUAGGGAAUCUUCGGCAAUGGACGGAAGUCUGACCGAGCAACGCCGCGUGAGUGAAGAAGGUUUUCGGAUCGUAAAGCUCUGUUGUAAGAGAAGAACAGGUGUGAGAGUGGAAAGUUCACACUGUGACGGUAUCUUACCAGAAAGGGACGGCUAACUACGUGCCAGCAGCCGCGGUAAUACGUAGGUCCCGAGCGUUGUCCGGAUUUAUUGGGCGUAAAGCGAGCGCAGGCGGUUAGAUAAGUCUGAAGUUAAAGGCUGUGGCUUAACCAUAGUACGCUUUGGAAACUGUUUAACUUGAGUGCAAGAGGGGAGAGUGGAAUUCCAUGUGUAGCGGUGAAAUGCGUAGAUAUAUGGAGGAACACCGGUGGCGAAAGCGGCUCUCUGGCUUGUAACUGACGCUGAGGCUCGAAAGCGUGGGGAGCAAACAGGAUUAGAUACCCCUGGUAGUCCACGCCGUAAACGAUGAGUGCUAGGUGUUAGACCCUUUCCGGGGUUUAGUGCCGCAGCUAACGCAUUAAGCACUCCGCCUGGGGAGUACGACCGCAAGGUUGAAACUCAAAGGAAUUGACG
This 899-nucleotide ribosomal RNA is filed under the name uncultured bacterium. RNAcentral's name for it is "bacterial SSU rRNA". It matches the Rfam family "Bacterial small subunit ribosomal RNA", at positions 33 to 915 of the family's 1533-position model. The record is from RNAcentral.